This 492-nucleotide ribosomal RNA is filed under the name uncultured bacterium. RNAcentral's name for it is "partial 16S ribosomal RNA". It matches the Rfam family "Bacterial small subunit ribosomal RNA", at positions 29 to 507 of the family's 1533-position model. The record is from RNAcentral.
AGUGAACGCUGGCGGUAGGCCUAACACAUGCAAGUCGAACGGCAGCACAGUAAGAGCUUGCUCUUACGGGUGGCGAGUGGCGGACGGGUGAGGAAUACAUCGGAAUCUACUUUUUCGUGGGGGAUAACGUAGGGAAACUUACGCUAAUACCGCAUACGAUCUACGGGUGAAAGCAGGGGAUCUUCGGACCUUUCGCGAUUGAAUGAGCCGAUGUCGGAUUAGCUAGUUGGCGGGGUAAAGGCCCACCAAGGCGACGCUCCGUAGCUGGUCUGAGAGGAUGAUCGGCCACACUGGAACUGAGACACGGUCCAGACUCCUACGGGAGGCAGCAGUGGGGAAUAUUGGGCAAUGGGCGCAAGCCUGAUCCAGCCAUACCGCGUGGGUGAAGAAGGCCUUCGGGUUGUAAAGCCCUUUUGUUGGGAAAGAAAAGCAGCAGGUUAAUACCCCGCUGUUCUGACGGUACCCAAAGAAUAAGCACCGGCUAACUUCGUG